GAAAUGCGAUAAGUAGUGUGAAUUGCAGAAUUCAGUGAAUCAUCGAAUCUUUGAACGCACAUUGCGCCCCUUGGUAUUCCAUGGGGCAUGCCUGUUCGAGCGUCAUUUGUACCCUCAAGCUCUGCUUGGUGUUGGGUGUUUGUCCCCGUCUCCGCGCGUGGACUCGCCCCAAAGUGAUUGGCAGCCGGCGUACUGGUCCCGGAGCGCAGCACAUGUCGCGCAAACGAGUGCUUGGUACGGCGGCGUCCAUAAGCCCCUCUCUCACGCUCUUGACCUCGGAUCAGGUAGGGAUACCCGCUGAACUUAAGC
RNAcentral lists this unclassified non-coding RNA (309 nucleotides) under plant metagenome. RNAcentral describes it as "partial contains 5.8S ribosomal RNA, internal transcribed spacer 2, and large subunit ribosomal RNA". The stretch from base 1 to 105 matches the Rfam family "5.8S ribosomal RNA", at positions 50 to 154 of the family's 154-position model. The record is from RNAcentral.